UGCAUCGAUGAAGAACGUAGCGAAAUGCGAUACCUGGUGUGAAUUGCAGAAUCCCGCGAACCAUCGAGUCUUUGAACGCAAAUUGCGCCCGAGGCCAUCCGGCCGAGGGCACGCCUGCUUGGGCGUCACGC
This 131-nucleotide ribosomal RNA is filed under the name Ravenea xerophila. Its description in RNAcentral is "partial 5.8S ribosomal RNA". It matches the Rfam family "5.8S ribosomal RNA", at positions 29 to 154 of the family's 154-position model. From Rfam's summary of the family: 5.8S ribosomal RNA (5.8S rRNA) is a component of the large subunit of the eukaryotic ribosome. Lineage: Eukaryota; Viridiplantae; Streptophyta; Magnoliopsida; Arecales; Arecaceae. The record is from RNAcentral.